UACGUAGGGGGCAAGCGUUGUCCGGAAUCAUUGGGCGUAAAGAGCGUGUAGGCGGCUCGAUAAGUCUGCUGUGAAAGUCCAGGGCUCAACCCUGGAAGGCCGGUGGAAACUGUCGGGCUAGAGUCCGGAAGAGGCGAGUGGAAUUCCCGGUGUAGCGGUGAAAUGCGCAGAUAUCGGGAGGAACACCAAUGGCGAAGGCAGCUCGCUGGGACGGUACUGACGCUGAGACGCGAAAGCGUGGGGAGCAAAUGGG
This 253-nucleotide ribosomal RNA is filed under the name uncultured bacterium. RNAcentral describes it as "partial 16S ribosomal RNA". It matches the Rfam family "Bacterial small subunit ribosomal RNA", at positions 524 to 776 of the family's 1533-position model. The record is from RNAcentral.